This 492-nucleotide ribosomal RNA is filed under the name uncultured bacterium. RNAcentral describes it as "partial 16S ribosomal RNA". It matches the Rfam family "Bacterial small subunit ribosomal RNA", at positions 28 to 507 of the family's 1533-position model. The record is from RNAcentral.
GAUGAACGCUAGCUACAGGCUUAACACAUGCCAGUCGAGGGGAAACGACAUCGAAAUCUUGCUUUUGAUGGGCGUCGACCGGCGCACGGGUGAGUAACGCGUAUCCAACCUGCCCAUCACUUGGGAAUAACCUUGCGAAAGUAAGACUAAUACCCAAUGACAUCCCACGAAGACAUCUGAAUGGGAUUAAAGAUUUAUCGGUGAUGGAUGGGGAUGCGUCUGAUUAGCUUGUUGGCGGGGUAACGGCCCACCAAGGCAACGAUCAGUAGGGGUUCUGAGAGGAAGGUCCCCGACAUGGGAACUGAGACACGGUCCAAACUCCUACGGGAGGCAGCAGUGAGGAAGAUUGGGCAAUGGGCGAGAGCCUGAACCAGCCAAGUAGCGUGCAGGAUGACGGCCCUAUGGGUUGUAAACUGCUUUUAUAAGGGAAUAAAGUGGGUCUCGUGAGACUUUUUGCAUGUACCUUAUGAAUAAGGACCGGCUAAUUCCGUG